AGUACCACAAUACAAUGGUGGUGUACUGGUACCUUAGUUCGAAUACUGGUACUCAAUGCUGCGAAACUUGAAAUUGCAUAGGUUGCAAUUUCCAAUAUUUACAGGGUUUUAGGGCAUUUUGUAGCAACCUAUAAGUAUUCUUUUCCCUUCUCUUUUCUUAAUGAAUGCAACAAGGAAGAAAACAAGGAAGAAAAGAGGAGCAUUUUGAGACCAUAUGGAGGAAGACGCUUGGAAAGAAAAUUGUUUAGAGUUUUCAGUCCUCAACGUUUUACUUAAGCUUGGUUGUAGAUCUUGGAUCAAGUUGCUUUUAUUUCAGAGCCCUUUAGCACGAGAGAAGUUCGACAUCGUUGCAAGAACGUGGCGUCUAGCUAGAACCGUCCGGACUGAGACUACAUGGAGGUCGACCGGAUGCACCUUGCAUUUCGGGGAGGCUUAUGUGAGAGUUGUUGAUGUAACUAUUUUAGUUAGACUAUGUGAUGUGGUAUCUCUAUGUAUUUAAAGUUAUAAGAUUACGGAUACAUAUAUAUUUGUUGUGAUAUAUACAUGUUAGACAUUAAACUCCUAGAGUUUAUGUUUUAUGAGAUGUUGUAUUUGGAGUUAAUGUUGAGAUUAUGGAUUUAUAUAUUUAUGUA
Long non-coding RNA from Ananas comosus (pineapple), 632 nucleotides. RefSeq lists it as uncharacterized. NCBI's taxonomy places the organism in Eukaryota, Viridiplantae, Streptophyta, Magnoliopsida, Poales, Bromeliaceae. The transcript has 3 exons. The record is from RefSeq and is a predicted model, not a curated record.